GUGCUCACUCCAGCAGCACAUACACUAAAACUGGAACACUGCAGAGAGUAACAUGGCCCCAGUGCAAGGGUGACAGCCAAAUUUGGGAAACAUUCCAUAUUUUG
Small nuclear RNA from Apodemus sylvaticus (European woodmouse), 104 nucleotides. NCBI's taxonomy places the organism in Eukaryota, Metazoa, Chordata, Mammalia, Rodentia, Muridae. The record is from RefSeq and is a predicted model, not a curated record.